UCAAAAUAGACUAUUGGUAGGACUAAAACUUAAAGAGGGGUAAAAAUGGGUAUUUCCGAAACAGUGCCUUUUCACGAAGUAACUUUACGUACCGGGGUGUCAAACUUAAUAUAGAAGGAUCUUAAGAACCAGAAAUACAAAAUUGAACCUAUAGUGGCUAUGAGGAUUUUUGAUGUGGAUUGUAACAGAGAGCGCAAAGAAUAAGUUAGAAGUAUUUGAAAGAAGAAUGCUAUAUGGAGAAGGCGACACAAGAUGAAACUUAACCAUCUGUCCAAAAAAGCCCUUAUCUCAGAAUUUGCCAAGUUGCAAAUACUGGAAUGGACUGGUUAAGUCAAAUAACACGAAUGAGCAAAGAUAGAAUGCCAAAAGACUCUUAAGCAGCAAAAUGCAAGGCAAGAGCGUCAGAACCUGGAACAGAGUUAGACGUUUAGGAAGAGUCAGUGGAAACGAAAGCUAUGGAUUCGUUAUGUGGAUGAAAUUUUAGUGAUCUGGUAGCAUGGAAAAGAGCGUCUGCAGGUCCUAGAUAACCUGAACUCCCAACGCAUCAUAAUUAAAUUUAUCACGGGAGCUGCAACACAGUUACCUUCCGUGGAUGAUUUGGUCACUAGGAAGACAGAUGGGGCAUAGAACUAGGAGUGUAUUUCUGAAAAAUGUAUUCCUGAAGAACGGUUACACUCUAACGAGCCAGCAAACGACAUAAACGGAAGGAACAAAUGGGAGCUGUCAUACAGAAAGACAAACAUCUGUGUUUAACACGCCGGAGGCGCUCUCGAACGAUAAUGUGCCAUCUAUGUUGCAUUAAUCAAUGCUGCGACGACGUCAACCUGCAAACGAGCGCGACAGAGAAAUGCAACGGAACGGUAGCCUUGCAGACGCGGAAGAAACCUUCACACGGUAAUUCCAUUUAUUUCUGCGCUCCCCCAGAGCCCUCGAUUCCCCUCUCUAAACAAUUCCGGAACGCCCCGGAAGUCGAGAUUGCGAGUUUCCCCACGAGAUAACACGUUUCCACGCCUUGCAGUCGAAGAAAUGCCGAAAGGAAAAGGGAAUCGAUACUAGAAAUAAUUAAACCUUUAGUUUUAGAUAAGAAAAUUGUAGGUGUAGUCAAUAGUGUAGCUGUAAAGGAGUCCAGUUAUUGCUGAAAUUUCGUUGGUGUUGCAGAUUAAAUAUUUAAUCAUUUUCGUUUGCAGAAACACGAAAUUGUAGAUGCAGCCGUAUAUUUGAAGUAAAACCGCAUUACUAUUGCAUAACGUCCUAGUUUGUGCACAACUAGUAAAAGCGUUAAAAUAAACACCGGAUUAAGCUCGGGUAUUUUGCAGUGUAAUUCCGUUUUGGUGAGUAGAUCGACGUGUAUCGGCUUAAUAAGAGGCUUAAUUAUUUUUUGUCAUUCCUGAAAUAAGGAUU
Molecule: non-coding RNA, 1401 nt
Organism: Onthophagus taurus
Lineage: Eukaryota; Metazoa; Arthropoda; Insecta; Coleoptera; Scarabaeidae
Source: RefSeq, a predicted model, not a curated record